GCACCCGUAGCUCAGUGGAUAGAGCACUGGUUUCCGGUACCAGGUGUCGGAGGUUCGACUCCUCUCGGGUGUACCA
This 76-nucleotide transfer RNA is filed under the name Candidatus Saccharimonadota bacterium. RNAcentral's name for it is "tRNA-Arg". It matches the Rfam family "tRNA". From Rfam's summary of the family: Transfer RNA (tRNA) molecules are approximately 80 nucleotides in length. The record is from RNAcentral. Lineage: Bacteria; Candidatus Saccharimonadota. RNAcentral also lists the same sequence under 1 other name.